AGCAGCCGCGGUAAUUCCAGCUCCAAUAGCGUAUAUUAAAGUUGUUGCAGUUAAAAAGCUCGUAGUUGAAUUUCGGGAUCAGUACGCCGGUCGUGCCUUCGGUAUGUACUGGUGUCACUGAUUCCUCCCUUCUGAAGAACCGUUAUGCCAUUCAUUUGGUGUGACGGGGAAUCAGGACUGUUACUUUGAAAAAAUUAGAGUGUUUAAAGCAGGCUCGCGCUUGAAUACAUUAGCAUGGAAUAAUGAAAUAGGACGUUUGAUCUUAUUUUGUUGGUUUCUAGGAUCGACGUAAUGAUUAAUAGGGAUAGUUGGGGGCAUUAGUAUUCAAUUGUCAGAGGUGAAAUUCUUGGAUUUAUUGAAGACUAACUACUGCGAAAGCAUUUGCCAAGGAUGUUUUCAUUAAUCAAGAACGAAAGUUAGGGGAUCGAAGACGAUCAGAUACCGUCGUAGUCUUAACCAUAAACAAUGCCGACUAGGGAUCGGAUGAUGUUAAUUUUUUAAUGACUCA
RNAcentral lists this ribosomal RNA (508 nucleotides) under uncultured Glomus. Its description in RNAcentral is "SSU rRNA". It matches the Rfam family "Eukaryotic small subunit ribosomal RNA", at positions 569 to 1078 of the family's 1831-position model. Lineage: Eukaryota; Fungi; Glomeromycota; Glomeromycetes; Glomerales; Glomeraceae. The record is from RNAcentral.